CGGUGAAGGAGAGCUUGCUCUCCGGAUCAGUGGCGAACGGGUGAGUAACACGUGAGCAACCUGCCCCGGACUCUGGGAUAACAGCUGGAAACAGCUGCUAAUACCGGAUACGAGCUGCGAAGGCAUCUUCAGCAGCUGGAAAGAACUUCGGUCCGGGAUGGGCUCGCGGCCUAUCAGCUAGUUGGUGAGGUAACGGCUCACCAAGGCGUCGACGGGUAGCCGGCCUGAGAGGGUGACCGGCCACACUGGGACUGAGACACGGCCCAGACUCCUACGGGAGGCAGCAGUGGGGAAUAUUGCACAAUGGGCGAAAGCCUGAUGCAGCAACGCCGCGUGAGGGAUGACGGCCUUCGGGUUGUAAACCUCUUUUAGCAGGGAAGAAGCGAAAGUGACGGUACCUGCAGAAAAAGCGCCGGCUAACUACGUGCCAGCAGCCGCGGUAAUACGUAGGGCGCAAGCGUUAUCCGGAAUUAUUGGGCGUAAAGAGCUCGUAGGCGGUCUGUCGCGUCUGCUGUGAAAACCCGAGGCUCAACCUCGGGCCUGCAGUGGGUACGGGCAGACUAGAGUGCGGUAGGGGAGAUUGGAAUUCCUGGUGUAGCGGUGGAAUGCGCAGAUAUCAGGAGGAACACCGAUGGCGAAGGCAGAUCUCUGGGCCGUAACUGACGCUGAGGAGCGAAAGGGUGGGGAGCAAACAGGCUUAGAUACCCUGGUAGUCCACCCCGUAAACGUUGGGAACUAGUUGUGGGGUCCAUUCCACGGAUUCCGUGACGCAGCUAACGCAUUAAGUUCCCCGCCUGGGGAGUAC
This 805-nucleotide ribosomal RNA is filed under the name Microbacterium sp. RNAcentral's name for it is "bacterial SSU rRNA". It matches the Rfam family "Bacterial small subunit ribosomal RNA", at positions 67 to 883 of the family's 1533-position model. The record is from RNAcentral. Lineage: Bacteria; Bacillati; Actinomycetota; Actinomycetes; Micrococcales; Microbacteriaceae.